This is a long non-coding RNA of Chinchilla lanigera (long-tailed chinchilla), 2328 nucleotides long. RefSeq lists it as uncharacterized. The record is from RefSeq and is a predicted model, not a curated record. NCBI's taxonomy places the organism in Eukaryota, Metazoa, Chordata, Mammalia, Rodentia, Chinchillidae. The transcript is spliced from 2 exons.
CGCGGCUGGGAGGGCGGGCGGGCGGCGGCGGCACGGAAGGGCCCAGCCCCGCAAACCCGAGGAUUCAGAGGCGCCCGACACACCCCGGCAGCCAGGGAGCUUGCAGGCCAGACUCCCCGACACCCCCUCCCGCCCGGGACCCCACUAGCCGCUCCCGGCUUUGCCCACCCCGUGGCAGAUGGCCCCGCAGUCCCUGCCCUUUCGCCCUUCCUACCCUAGCCUGGGCACUGCCUGGGAGGAAGGCAGCCGUGUCCUGCUCCUUCCCUCGGAGGCUGGAGGGAGAGGCCAAGCCCCUGGAAAACGUAGCAGAAGUCGUGUCCGUGUGAGUGCGCGAGUGCAGGCCCAGGCGGCAGGAAUCUCGUGCGCCCCACUGCCCAUUGCGCUGGCACUCUGGGACGGCAGGGCUCCAGGGCAGGGGUCCCAGCUGCCCCUGCAUAUCUAGGGCAAGGGACCAGGUGUGGAGCCGAUGUGGGCAGCGGCCUCUCCCCAGGACCCUCUCCCAGCCCUUGCUGCCCCAGCCCAGACACAGAAACUGGAUCUCACACCGACGGCCAGGUGACUGCCGGUCAUUUCUCCUGGGUUUCUGUGGGGUCAACAUGUCAACCUGCAGGAGUUGGGUUGACCCCUCCAUCCCCACUUCUCCCCAGUUUCUGGUCCUGGAGGGGCAGGAGGCGUCUAGGGAUGGGAAGUGGGGGCUGGCCUUGUGAGUGGGAACCACUGCAGCACGCAGAGGACAGACGCGUGGGUGCAGCCUUGUGCAACCCGGUGACUGCACCUCCAGACGCCUCCCAGCCUCACCAAGGUCCCCUGCCAGGCAGCUGUCACCACACCCCUCAGGGAACCCACAGAGAGGCACCUGCAGGGAGGGUCAGGCCCCGCGGCAGCAAAGCUGGCUCAGAGGAAGCAGCCUCAUCACCCCCGCCCUCUGUGGAGCCCUAGGACCCCGGCAAUAACCUCAGUGUGGGUGAGGCCACACCCUCUGCCUGUCGGUGCCCCAGCUGCUGGCCUGGGCUGCCUCUCCUGGGGUCCCCCCUGAGGCUCUGGGGCUUUCAAGGGGGCUCCUGAUGGGCCAGGCUGCCUACAGAGGGCACAGACCACCCUCCGGCCUGGAGCUGCAACUUCCCGCAUUCCCACCGACAAAGGGCUAUAGGUCCCCCCGCCCUGCCCGGGUCCAGUUUACACACAGCAUACGGUGGCCCCAGGGCCUGGCCUCACUCUCCUCGGUGUGCCCGCUCCUCAAGACCUCCCCAGUGGGCACGGGGCCCACACGCCAGGUAAGUAGCAAACCCUCCUCUGCCAAGAGCGGACUCUCAGAAAGGCCCUGUCACUGCCCCGCCCACUUGGGGCCUUCGGCCUCUCCCAGCCGCGACUUCUCCUUUUUGCCUUAGGCCUCUCGACAUCCUGAUCUCUUGCAAUAACAAGGAAGCGAGACUCCACAGUAGACGUCCCUCUCCGCGUGCCCUCUCUCUCUCUCUCUCUCUCUCUCUCUGCUGAGAUGUUUUGGGAGUUCUGUCCCUCGUCUUCAUAGUGUAGGGUGUUACAGCUGGGAAGGGACAGUAGGAUGUAGCCCAGCCCCCUCCCCAGAGUUGGACACCAGCCUGACCCCCCCUGCAGGACUGGACCGGGUCAGGGCUCUGCUGCUGCUCUGCCCUGCUGCUGCCACUGUUCUGUUGGCGGGGCUGGGGUCCUUUACCCCUUAGGAGAGGUGUCGGUCACGAUGUUUACCUCAGUUUAUGUCACUGUCAGAGAAAAACAAUAGCAAAAAAUUAACACCGUAGACGUGGAGAUUUAGAGACAAAAGAAAAAAACCCACAAAAAAAAUCUCUUCCCUCUUGCGACUCCUUUGUGAAGGUACAGUGUGUACGCACACAUGUGUGUGUCUCUGUCCCACCCUGGGGCAGGCCAGGUCAUCCCUGACCUCUGUCCCCGUCCCUAGGUCCCCCACACUGUCCCGUGUCCUUCGGUGCUUCCCAGAGGCCCCACUGGGCUGGCCUGUGGGGUGUGGGGAGCCCCCUGGGUGGGAGUGGGGCCACAGGUCAGCCAAAGGGUUUCCCACAGGCCCACUCUGCAGAGCCAAGGCUGCCUGAUGCUUCCUGAGCCCAGGACCAUCGUGGUAGCCCGCAUCAGCAGUUGGGCCUGGCUCAGGGCCUGGGGUAGGGUCCUGAGUACAGUCCCAGACCCCAGACUUUCAUGUCUCGCCCCCCACCCACACCCCAUGUGUUUGUAAAUACUCUGGCACCCUUUGGCCCUGAGGUGGUUUUUAAAUGUGUUAUUUACUUCUCUAAUCAUGACAAUUGCUAUAAAAUAAACAAAAACUUAGAAAAAUUA